Molecule: long non-coding RNA, 958 nt
Filed under: Homo sapiens (human)
Lineage: Eukaryota; Metazoa; Chordata; Mammalia; Primates; Hominidae
Description: HSALNT0316102
Source: RNAcentral
GAACCCGGGAGGUGGAGGUUGCAGUGAGCCAAGAUCACACCACUGUACUCCAGCCUGGGCAACAGAGCAAGACUCCGUCUCAAAGAAAAAAAAAAAAAAUGGGAUUGGGUUAGAGGCCCAACUUAGGAGAGUUAGAGUCCCUUCUAAGAUUUAAAGGGUUAGAGACCCCUCUAGGUAAAGUCCUUCUCGGCUAAGAACAGGUUCAGCACUAUGGGAUGUUAACUGCAAUUCUCUUUGGAUUAAUCUGCCUUGCACUGUUUGCUGAUGGCUGUGGGUGACAGGGUUAGGCCUGUACAGGAUCGUGGGACAUGGGAGCUUUUUCCUUCCUGAAAGGGGAAACUUGAGAGCUGGCGGGACUGCUGGGAAAAACCCCUUAACGACAGCAGCCGCAGCCACCUGAACUUUAAAGCGUCGCUGCAAUGAGGGGGUCUUUCUCUGGCCUCCCUGAUCAUUUGGACUUCCCCACCCUGCUGCAGGCAAUACUUUCCUUCUCUACUUUUCCUUUCCCUUUCUAUCUUUUCUAUUACUCAAGGCGACCAUCUUGCCCAGAGACCACGUGUUGAAACUCCAAGUCAGAGGUUGGAUCAAAGAUGACGGGGCCCAUCUGGGGGCAAAUUUAAGCUUCGCCAGUUUGAUAUUGGGUGCUAAGCAGUGUGGCUAAUGUCUAUGUUUUUUGUUUGUUUGUUUGUCUAAGACGGAGUCUCCUGUGUUGCCCAGGCUGAAGUACAGUGGCGUGAUCUCGGCUCACUGCAACCUCAGCCUCCCGGGUUCAAGCGAUUCUCCUGCCUCUGCCUCCCGAAUAGCUGGGACUACAGGACGAUGGUGCCACAAGCCUGAUCAGUAAUGCCGCUUAGGGAAAGGGAACCCAGAAGCCUGGCAUGCUGGCAAAAGGGUAAGAAUUUCCUACCAGUCAGAUUUCUGGCUUCUCUCUCUGUGAAAAUGGUUCAAUAAAUGGAAA